Molecule: ribosomal RNA, 270 nt
Filed under: uncultured archaeon
Lineage: Archaea
Description: partial 16S ribosomal RNA
Rfam family: Archaeal small subunit ribosomal RNA
Source: RNAcentral
CAGCACCCCAAGUGGUCAGGAUGAUUAUUGGGCCUAAAGCAUCCGUAGCCGGCGCUGUAAGUUUUCGGUUAAAUCUGUACGCUCAACGUACAGGCUGCCGGGAAUACUGCAGCGCUAGGGAGUGGGAGAGGUAGACGGUACUCGGUAGGAAGGGGUAAAAUCCUUUGAUCUAUUGAUGACCACCUGUGGCGAAGGCGGUCUACCAGAACACGUCCGACGGUGAGGGAUGAAAGCUGGGGGAGCAAACCGGAUUAGAUACCCGAGUAGUCC